AACUUGUUAUUAUCAGUCUGUUAUUAUCAGCUUGUUAUUAUCAGCUUGUUAUUAUCAGCUUGUUAUUAUCAACUUGUUAUUAUCAGUUUGUUAUUAUCAGCUUGUUAUUAUCAGCUUGUUAUUAUCAGCUUGUUAUUAUCAACUUGUUAUUAUCAGUUUGUUAUUAUCAGCUUGUUAUUAUCAGCUUGUUAUUAUCAGCUUGUUAUUAUCAGCGUGUUAUUAUCAGCGUGUUAUUAUCAGCUUGUUAUUAUCAGCUUGUUAUCAUCUUGUUAUUAUCAGCUUGUUAUUAUCAGCUUGUUAUUAUCAGUUUGUUAUUAUCAGCUUGUUAUUAUCAGCUUGUUAUCAGCUUGUCAUUAUCAGCUUGUUAUUAUCAGCUUGUUAUUAUCAGCUUGUUAUUAUCAGUUUGUUAUUAUCAGCUUGUUAUUAUCACUUUGUUAUUAUCAGCUUGUUAUUAUCAGCUUGUUAUUAUCAGCUUGUUAUUAUCAGCUUGUUAUUAUCAGUUUGUUAUUAUCAGCUUGUUAUUAUCAGCUUGUUAUUAUCAGCUUGUUAUUAUCAGCUUGUUAUUAUCAGUGUGUUAUUAUCAGCGUGUUAUUAUCAGCUUGUUAUUAUCAACUUGUUAUUAUCAGCUUGUUAUUAUCAUCAACUUGUUAUUAUCAACUUGUUAUUAUCAGCUUGUUAUUAUCAGUUUGUUAUUAUCAGCUUGUUAUCAGCUUGUUAUCAGCUUGUUAUUAUCAGCUUGUUAUUAUCAGCUUGUUAUCAGCUUGUUAUUAUCAGCUUGUUAUUAUCAGCUUGUUAUUAUCAACUUGUUAUUAUCAGCUUGUUAUUAUCAGCUUGUUAUUAUCAACUUGUUAUUAUCAGUCUGUUAUUAUCAGCUUGUUAUUAUCAGUCUGUUAUUAUCAGCUUGUUAUUAUCAGUCUGUUAUUAUCAGCUUGUUAUUAUCAGUCUGUUAUUAUCAGCUUGUUAUUAUCAGUCUGUUAUUAUCAGCUUGUUAUUAUCAGUCUGUUAUUAUCAGCUUGUUAUUAUCAGUCUGUUAUUAUCAGCUUGUUAUUAUCAGUCUGUUAUUAUCAGCUUGUUAUUAUCAGUCUGUUAUUAUCAGCUUGUUUGCACUGGCCUUAUCUUUUCUCCCAGAAGAAAAUAAAACACGUGGGUUGCUAAAGAAUCCUCUCUGCUCUCUUUCUAGGAGAGAGAGAAACAGGAAGACUGAGAGACAGAGACAGACUAACACACACUGUGUGUGUGUGUGUUCAUUCCUCUGCUCUGUCCAAGAUGGCGACCCAUACUUCUACAUUGCCUGGUAAGCGGAACCUGUCUCUCCAGCCUUUGUUACAUGCAUACACAAGGAGUGAAGCAGGCCUCACACGGGUAAAUAGUUGACAACAUGAAGGAGAGAUUUACAGUAGGGAGAGGGAAGUUAGAUACUGAACAACAAUGUGACAGAAAACGUUUGGAGCAGGGACAUGCUCUAGUCAAAUCAGGGAAUGUUAGUGAUUGCAUUUGAGGAUGAAAGUGCCUUAUUCUGUGUGUGUAUGGAAUGCAUGCUUAUCAAAUCAAAUUGUAUUGGUCACAUGCACAGAAUACAAUAGGUGUGGACUUUACAGUGAAAUGCUUACUCAUGACCCCAUACCCAACUGUGCAGAUUAAAGAAAACUAGUCUAUUGACACACCGGUGUGUCAAUCUGAGUAACAUAAUAAACAAAUCCCUACAUUUAAGCUACAGAUAGCUGUUUUUUUGCAUGGGCCUCCAUCCACAGCAUCCACCUAGGUUGUACUUCCCCAUCUACAGUAUGUUGGAAAGUGGCAGAGAGCUACAGCUCUGUUUGUCACAGCAGGAGACAUCCCAAAAAUCUAUUUUCUCACCGAAACGUCUGUAGCAUCUGAACGGUUUGGCUAAUAUGACCACUCUAAACUAAUUUGAGCACUGUAUUGAAAGGGGAGGCUCUCACAAACAAGGUGGUGUUCUCUGUUUUGCUCUACGACCCCCACAAAUGUCACAGGACUCGUCUGUAGGUAACCCAUGCAAAUUAAUUAUUUUUUAAAUAUAUUUUUUAGGGAUACCUAAAGGGGUCCUAAAACUCUAAAUCAAAUAGCUAAAUGAUCCAUGGUAUGACCUUCUUAAAACAAUUCCAUAUGGAAGGUUAGACAACGGCUUAACUUUUAAGAAUGAAAAAGUAAGAAAUAUUUGCUCAAUAAAAAAGGAAAUGGUAACAAAAUAAAAACAAUAAGGAGGCUAUAUACAGGAUGUACCAGUUUAUAUAUACAGGAAG
Long non-coding RNA from Oncorhynchus kisutch (coho salmon), 2264 nucleotides. The record is from Ensembl. NCBI's taxonomy places the organism in Eukaryota, Metazoa, Chordata, Actinopteri, Salmoniformes, Salmonidae.